This 392-nucleotide ribosomal RNA is filed under the name uncultured bacterium. RNAcentral's name for it is "bacterial SSU rRNA". It matches the Rfam family "Bacterial small subunit ribosomal RNA", at positions 28 to 420 of the family's 1533-position model. The record is from RNAcentral.
GACGAACGCUGGCGGCGUGCUUAACACAUGCAAGUCGAGCGGUAAGGCCCUUUCGGGGGUACGACGAGCGGCGAACGGGUGAGUAACACGUGGGUGACCUGCCCUCAGCUCUGGGAUAAGCCCGGGAAACCGGGUCUAAUACUGGAUAUGACUCCAUGACGCAUGUUGUGGGGUGGAAAGCCUUGUGCGGCUGAGGAUGGGCCCGCGGCCUAUCAGCUUGUUGGUGGGGUGAUGGCCUACCAAGGCGACGACGGGUAGCCGGCCUGAGAGGGCGACCGGCCACACUGGGACUGAGACACGGCCCAGACUCCUACGGGAGGCAGUAGUGGGGAAUCUUGCGCAAUGGGCGAAAGCCUGACGCAGCGACGCCGCGUGAGGGAUGACGGCCUCGG